GCCCUGGGAGGGAAUUAGAGGUUAUACAAUUCAUCUCCCUGUUAGUUUGGGUAUACUUUGAAAUACUUAAGCAUUUUCAUGUGGUAUACAUAUUCAUACAUAACUGAAUAUAUGCAGGGAGGGCAGCCCAUUUGCAUCUGGGAGUCCCUUCAGAAUCCACAGUCCAGAGGUAGUGACAAAGCAUCUCAUUUUUAAAAUUUUUAUAUAUAUUUUAUAUAUAUAUAAUUAUAUAUAUAUAUAUUUUUUUUUGCCAACAUAUAGUAUAGCACCCAGUGCUCAUCCCAUCAAGUGCCCGUCACCCAGUCAUCCCAUUGUCAAAGCAUCUCAAAUGUGGUUAUCAAGAUUACACCAGAGGGCUGAUUAAUUAGGGAUUUUUGAAAGAAGUUUUCACUGGGGAAGUUCAAGGUCUGUGGCUGGGCAGUACCAUCACCAUUGCCUCUGCCUCAGUGGGGAGGAGGAAGCUGAGAUUGUCAAGGGAUGGAUCAGGACACGGCUGCUCCUUCGUAAUGGUGUCAUGUCUGCCUCACCCUUUCACACGAGCUGUGUGUCCGAGUGUCUGAGGACCACGUGGGACUCUUCCAGGCUUACAGACUGUUUUGUGCAGACAUGUCAGUGAGUGUUGGUGUCUGGCUGCCAGAAUUUCUUCAAAGACCUGCUUUCCUUGGAACACCCUGCCCAAUGGUGAGACUGGAGAGAGAGGUGUCCAUAGCCCCUCGUAUUCAGAAAAAGAAGCAAACGUGCUGAACAGCCACAUUGGCUGGGUCCAAUCACUGUACACCCUCACUUUGCAGACGAUGAAGCCGGGGCCCAGAGCCAAGAGUGGAGCAGCAGCAGGAGCCCAGCACUCCGGCUCCUGGACCCGGGCUUAUGGUACAGGUCAGAGCUUCCCACACUACCUGGGAUGAAGGACUCUCCAUCCAACCUGUCAUGGACCCUCCAACCUGUCAUGGACCGAAGCUUUGGAGCCUUCAUCCCCACACUCAUUCAGCAGGUGUUGACUGAGCCACAGAGUACAGGCAGCCCGCCAGGUGCUGAGGAAGGACUGCUGAGCGGGAGAGGGGGUCAGACCAGAGAAGUAGAUGAAUACUAAGUGCAAAGUGACAUUUCUCUUGGCUGCUGCUGAACCGUUCCCCGGCCUCAAGGGGCAGGAUGAGCUGGAUUCUCUUUUCUGGGCAACGUGGAAGACCAAAGGAGCUGUUUCUCCCACUGCUUGGUGGAGGCAAGUGGGUUUUCAACAAUAAAUCAUAAACCACAAUAUCAGAGGUGUCAAGGACAGAGGCUUGCCUCUUUAUUUUAUAAAUGAGGAACCCACCAUCCAGAGAGGUUAGUUCAUUUGCUGAAUAUCACAGAACCUGAAAAUGCCAAAAUACAAGACCUUGACCUAUGUCUUCUGCCUUCUGUCAUCACAGACAGCUUAUUUUUCCCUGGACUGCCACAGCAUGGAACUCUGAGAAGGUAAAGGAAACAAGUCGCAGGAACUCUUAAGUGACUGUAACAUUAACGCCGAUGUAUCACUUAAAAAUGGUAAUAAUGACCAACAUUAUUGGGAGCCCUUUAAGAGCUGUCAAAUUAACUCAGUUCAGGUAAUCUUCAUAAGAAAACCUUCGCACUUCACUUGUUCUUAUGGUUCAACUUGAUUUCCCUUGUCUAAUUGCACUGGCCUGUAUCUCUAGUACAGUGUCAAAGAGUAGUGGAGAUUAGUGAACAUCCUUGCUUUGUUCCUGAUCUUAAAGGUAAUGCCUCCAAUGCUUUCCUAUUAAAUAUUAGCUUUAGGAUGAUUCCAUCAUGUUAAGAAAAUACCACAAGUUCUCUAAGUUCUUGAGUGUUUUUUCUUCUUUUUCUUCUUCUGUGAAGAGGUAUUGAAUUAUCCUCAGCAUUUAUGGAGAUAAUCAUGAUUUUUUUGGCCAUAGGUUUAUUAAUGUGGACUGUGGUUUUAAUGGAUUUGUAAAAGUGACCCAACACUGCAUUCUUGAACAAAUACCACUUAUUCUUGAUAUAUUAUUUUCUUAAUGUGAUGUUAGACUCAUUGUUGCUAACAUUUAGAAAUUUUACAGGGAUACUUAUGAAUGAUACUGGUCUAUAUAUUUAUCUGUAUUGCUUCUUGUUUAGCUAUCAGUGUUAUAUUUGUGUCAUAGAACAAGAAGCUUUCCUUCCUUUUCAAUGCUGUGGAAUAUUUUAAGAGCAUUGAAUUAUCUGAUCUUUGAAGGUGUGGUAGAUUUUGUUGUGGAAAGUCUGGUGCUUCUGUUUCCUUAAUAAAUUUCUCCAUUUCUUAAAUGGAAUUGGUCCAUUUCAAUUUUCUAACUCUAAUGGUGGUCAAUUUGGGUAAUUUUAAUUUUCCUUGGAAAUCAUCCAUUUGACAUGUUUUUCCAGAUUUAUUUGCAAAGAAGUCUUGUGAAGUUGUCUCUUACAAUUGUAAACUUUCCUUCUGCUGCAAUAGUUAUUUCCCUCUUGACAUCUUUUAUUUUGUGGUGUUUGUGUUCUCUCCUAUUUAUCUUGAUCAAGUUAGCUAAUGAUUUGUUAAGUUUGUUAACUUUUUUAAAAAACAGAAUUUUGCUUGUUAGUUACGUCUAUUUCUCUAUUCUCUCAUUUAUUUCUGCUUUUAUCAUUAUUUUUUAUGCUUUCUUUUGGCUUACUUUGUUCUUUUUAAAGUGCUUUGAGCUGGAAAUUGAAUUCAUUUUAUUAUUUUUAUUGAUAAAUGUAUUUAGUACAAUGAUUUUUCUUUUAAAGAUUUUUAUUGAUUUAUUUGGGAGAGAGAGAGAGCACAAGCAAGGGGAGAGACAGAGGGAGAGGGAGAAGCAGACUCCCCACUGAGUGGGGAUCCUGAUGCGGGGCUCCAUCUCAGGAUCCUCAGACCAUGACUGGAGCUGAAGGCAGAUGCCCACCAACUGAGCCACCCAGGCACCCCUGAUUUUUCUUAUUUACUACUUUACUUGCAUUCUAUAGAGUGUGAUAUAUUUUUAUUGUGAUUAGAGACCUCUCUUAAGGGAAAAGAAUACAAAAUUAAGAAUAUGAAACUAGGUACAAGGCCUUGAAAGGGGUACAUGUAAGUGAGGGGCCAUCACACUUGAAUUUUACUACCGUCACAGUAAAUCCACCUGAUUAAAAAUAAGGCUUGAGGGACACCAGAGUGGCUCAGUGGGUGGGCAUCUUAUCAACAUCUGCCUUCAGCUCAGCGGUCAUGAUCCCAGGGUUCUGGGAUCAAGUCUCACAUUGGGCUCCCUGCUCCAUGGGGUUUGCUUCUCCCUCUCCCUCUAUUCUCUCUCUCACAAAUAAGUAAAUGAAAUCUUAUUUAUUUUUAUUUAUUUUUUUAAAUUUUUAUUUAUUUAUGAUAGUCACACAGAGAGAGAGAGGCAGAGACACAGGCAGAGGGAGAAGCAGGCUCCAUGCACCGGGAGCCCGACGUGGGAUUCGAUCCGGGGUCUCCAGGAUCGCGCCCUGGGCCAAAGGCAGGCGCCAAACCGCUGCGCCACCCAGGGAUCCCGAAAUCUUAUUUUUUUAAAAGAUUCUCUCUCUUCCUCUGCCCCUCCCCCACCUCCCUCUCUAAAAAAAUAAGUAAAUAAUAAAAAAAUAAAAAUAAGGCUUGAGAUUCAUGAAUGAUUUUUGUAGUUGGAAUUUUGAGAUGAGUUAGUAGUCAGGGAAGACUUGCCACGUGAGUAGCAAGAAAAAAGAAUGGCAAAGAGAAUGAGCUGUAGAGGUAUGCAGAGGUUGUGCUGAGCAGCGGGCGGAAUUAAUCUCUGUAAUCUUUACCACAUGCCUGAUUGCUUUACUGUUACCAUUUUAUAAGUGAUUAAAAGGAGUUUCUGAAAUGUUAAAAUACUUGCUUCGGAUCACACAGUCGGUGAGAUUAAAUCUCGCCGAGUCCAGCCCAGAAGCCUAUAUCUCACUACACACACCAACCACAUUGUUGGUGCCCAGAAGGGACUGGCCAUGUGCUCUUCCCACCUGCUCCAACAGCAGCCAGUUUAGGAACUGGUCUCACAGCCACCAGUGAUGCAGCAUUACCUAUGGCAUGGGACUGAGCAAAGCACACUGACGGACUGUAUCAGUCAUCUCUUGCUGUGGAACAAAUGACCCUCAAACAGUACAUAGUAGGGCAGCCCCAGUGGCGCAGCAGUUUAGCGCCACCUGCAGCCCAGGGCGUGAUUCUGGAGACCCAGGAUCGAGUCCUGCAUCGGGCUCCCUGCAUGGGGCCUGCUUCUCCCUCUGCCUGUGUCUCUGCCUGCCUCUCUCUCUCUCUGAAUGAAUAAAUAAAUAAAUCUUUAAAAACAAAA
This is a long non-coding RNA of Nyctereutes procyonoides (raccoon dog), 4271 nucleotides long. RefSeq lists it as uncharacterized. NCBI's taxonomy places the organism in Eukaryota, Metazoa, Chordata, Mammalia, Carnivora, Canidae. The transcript has 3 exons. The record is from RefSeq and is a predicted model, not a curated record.